This 72-nucleotide transfer RNA is filed under the name Moneuplotes crassus. Its description in RNAcentral is "tRNA-Cys". It matches the Rfam family "tRNA". Rfam says of the family: Transfer RNA (tRNA) molecules are approximately 80 nucleotides in length. Their secondary structure includes four short double-helical elements and three loops (D, anti-codon, and T loops). Further hydrogen bonds mediate the characteristic L-shaped molecular structure. tRNAs have two regions of fundamental functional importance: the anti-codon, which is responsible for specific mRNA codon recognition, and the 3' end, to which the tRNAs corresponding amino acid is attached (by aminoacyl-tRNA synthetases). tRNAs cope with the degeneracy of the genetic code in two manners: having more than one tRNA (with a specific anti-codon) for a particular amino acid; and 'wobble' base-pairing, i.e. permitting non-standard base-pairing at the 3rd anti-codon position. Lineage: Eukaryota; Ciliophora; Spirotrichea; Euplotida; Euplotidae. The record is from RNAcentral.
AGGGUUAGUAGCUCAGCGGUAGAGCGGCGGACUUCAGCUCCGAGGGUCACCGGUUCAAUCCCGGUCUAAUCC